CCCCCCACCCCCCCUACUGCGUUACGUAAUAAAAGAACGCUCCCUUAUUAUUUGGUUGCCACCAAAAAAAGAUACAAACAUUUUAAAAAGGCUUAUUUGAAAACGUAAAAUUGCUCUAACUUUUGAACAAAACUAGCUAGCGACUUAGUUUCUUCGUCAGAAGACGCGUUUUUAGUCCUCCAAAUAUGUUCCGAAGACACCAAAAUUGCCAAAAAUAAUGCAAGAAAGCACAUUUCAUAUAAAAUGCUGUAGAACGUACAGAUUAGGAGAUAGAAAUUUGGUGUCCACAGCAAAGUUGUUCAGAAUGGCUAGUACUAUAAAACUGCCGAAUAAAGUAUGUCCCUAUCUCAUCAGGGUGCGGAGAUAGAUUUUGAAAAACUGAGAAAAUUUAGGACCACCCUAAUAUCGUCAUGACCAAAAGUCGUAGAAUUUUGUACUGAUCAAAUGUCCCUUUGACACCAAAGCUCUAAAAUGCUUCUCCGAAGCAGCAAUAUAUUUUUUCUGCUGAUUUCACUUCUCCGACCACUGUGCCUUGGAGUAAGACGUCAAAACAUUAAAAGUUCGUUCUAUGGCUGCUGACUGACUGGGUUGAUCCUGGUUCGCUAGAGCUAGUUACUAAAUCCUUGCUAAAUGUCCUUGCUUCUUCAGGACUUUGGAGAUAGAUUUUGAGCAUUUUGUGAAUCUUUAAUAGAACAGCUUUUCAGAACAAUCAUUGUUAUCAGAGCCAAUACCCGAUCUAAACUACGGUACAGGAAGAAAGUCAAGCUGAAGAACACUAGUGGAGCACUUUCCUAACAAAACGUUUGUCAUAACGGUAAAAGACCUACCUGAUGAUGAAACACGCCUAAAGCAGAUCUCAACCAAUGGAUGUAUUCGCUAAGAACUAAGGUAAGUCUAGAACAAAAAAAAAAUACUCUCGCAGAUCAUUUCACUCGGGUCUAGCGCUAACGUCUCGACCUGAAGCAGCUUAACGAUUAGUUUAUAUGAUUUAUAAAUUACCUAAAAAGUGCAAUUCAACAGGAUAGUUAGUCGGAAACGAAAACGUACUUCAUUUCGGACAUUUAACUUUCAAUUAAAACCACGCUCACGAUAAACACUAGACUUUUGCCUUCAAAUGGAAAGUCUUCAGUACCCGUGAAAAAGUCUUUGAAAACACAACAAAACAUGUUGGUGUGCAAAAAAUUGUACAAGACAAAACAAACUAAGCCAAAUUGCUUUCUUACGGAUCCCAAAUCGAGGUAUGCCGACCAAGUCCACUUGUAUCAGGUUGACAUGGCAGCUCGUAGUUUCAACUUGUGAAAGAACCAAUCGCGAAAAUCAAAAGUAUCGCUGAAUCCAACAAGGCGGCUUCAAUACAAAAUAAUCGUCAGAAUCCUACAUGGUGACAAGCAGAAUGGCUUAACUAAGCUGACUUUGCGGAGCAUUGCUGGUUGCAGUCCAAUACGGUUGAAGUGUGGUAUCUAGCCAGAAAAGUUAUUAAAAACCCGUUUACAACAAAAAAUAAAUAACACGAUAAAAAAUAA
Molecule: long non-coding RNA, 1523 nt
Organism: Culex quinquefasciatus (southern house mosquito)
Lineage: Eukaryota; Metazoa; Arthropoda; Insecta; Diptera; Culicidae
Exons: 3
Source: RefSeq, a predicted model, not a curated record